CUGUUUCGGCUAGGGGGCCAUCCCGGCUUACCAACCCGAUGCAAACUGCGAAUACCGGAGAAUGUUAUCACGGGAGACACACGGCGGGUGCUAACGUCCGUCGUGAAGAGGGAAACAACCCAGACCGCCAGCUAAGGUCCCAAAGUCAUGGUUAAGUGGGAAACGAUGUGGGAAGGCCCAGACAGCCAGGAUGUUGGCUUAGAAGCAGCCAUCAUUUAAAGAAAGCGUAAUAGCUCACUGGUCGAGUCGGCCUGCGCGGAAGAUGUAACGGGGCUAAACCAUGCACCGAAGCUGCGGCAGCGACACUUUAGUGUUGUUGGGUAGGGGAGCGUUCUGUAAGCCGUUGAAGGUGUCCUGUGAGGGGGGCUGGAGGUAUCAGAAGUGCGAAUGCUGACAUAAGUAACGAUAAAGCGGGUGAAAAGCCCGCUCGCCGGAAGACCAAGGGUUCCUGUCCAACGUUAAUCGGGGCAGGGUGAGUCGACCCCUAAGGCGAGGCCGAAAGGCGUAGUCGAUGGGAAACGGGUUAAUAUUCCCGUACUUGGUGUUACUGCGAAGGGGGGACGGAGAAGGCUAUGUUGGCCGGGCGACGGUAGUCCCGGUUUAAGCGUGUAGGUGUGUGUUCCAGGCAAAUCCGGUUCACUUUAACACUGAGGCGUGAUGACGAGGCACCACGGUGCUGAAGCAACAAAUGCCCUGCUUCCAGGAAAAGCCUCUAAGCAUCAGGUAACAUCAAAUCGUACCCCAAACCGACACAGGUGGUCAGGUAGAGAAUACCAAGGCGCUUGAGAGAACUCGGGUGAAGGAACUAGGCAAAAUGGUGCCGUAACUUCGGGAGAAGGCACGCUGACACGUAGGUGAAGUGAUUUACUCAUGGAGCUGAAGUCAGUCGAAGAUACCAGCUGGCUGCAACUGUUUAUUAAAAACACAGCACUGUGCAAACACGAAAGUGGACGUAUACGGUGUGACGCCUGCCCGGUGCCGGAAGGUUAAUUGAUGGGGUCAGCGCAAGCGAAGCUCCUGAUCGAAGCCCCGGUAAACGGCGGCCGUAACUAUAACGGUCCUAAGGUAGCGAAAUUCCUUGUCGGGUAAGUUCCGACCUGCACGAAUGGCGUAAUGAUGGCCAGGCUGUCUCCACCCGAGACUCAGUGAAAUUGAACUCGCUGUGAAGAUGCAGUGUACCCGCGGCAAGACGGAAAGACCCCGUGAACCUUUACUAUAGCUUGACACUGAACAUUGAGCCUUGAUGUGUAGGAUAGGUGGGAGGCUUUGAAGCGUGGACGCCAGUCUGCGUGGAGCCGACCUUGAAAUACCACCCUUUAAUGUUUGAUGUUCUAACGUGGACCCGUAAUCCGGGUUGCGGACAGUGUCUGGUGGGUAGUUUGACUGGGGCGGUCUCCUCCUAAAGAGUAACGGAGGAGCACGAAGGUUGGCUAAUCCUGGUCGGACAUCAGGAGGUUAGUGCAAUGGCAUAAGCCAGCUUGACUGCGAGCGUGACGGCGCGAGCAGGUGCGAAAGCAGGUCAUAGUGAUCCGGUGGUUCUGAAUGGAAGGGCCAUCGCUCAACGGAUAAAAGGUACUCCGGGGAUAACAGGCUGAUACCGCCCAAGAGUUCAUAUCGACGGCGGUGUUUGGCACCUCGAUGUCGGCUCAUCACAUCCUGGGGCUGAAGUAGGUCCCAAGGGUAUGGCUGUUCGCCAUUUAAAGUGGUACGCGAGCUGGGUUUAGAACGUCGUGAGACAGUUCGGUCCCUAUCUGCCGUGGGCGCUGGAAGAUUGAGGGGGGCUGCUCCUAGUACGAGAGGACCGGAGUGGACGCAUCACUGGUGUUCGGGUUGUCAUGCCAAUGGCACUGCCCGGUAGCUAAAUGCGGAAAAGAUAAGUGCUGAAAGCAUCUAAGCACGAAACUUGCCCCGAGAUGAGUCUUCCCUGAGACUUUGAGUCUCCUGAAGGAACGUUAAAGACGAUGACGUUGAUAGGCCGGGUGUGUAAGCGCAGCGAUGCGUUGAGCUAACCGGUACUAAUGAACCGUGAGGCUUAACCUU
RNAcentral lists this ribosomal RNA (2040 nucleotides) under Salmonella enterica. RNAcentral describes it as "partial 23S ribosomal RNA". It matches the Rfam family "Bacterial large subunit ribosomal RNA", at positions 910 to 2925 of the family's 2925-position model. Lineage: Bacteria; Pseudomonadati; Pseudomonadota; Gammaproteobacteria; Enterobacterales; Enterobacteriaceae. The record is from RNAcentral.